GAUGAACGCUGGCGGCGUGCCGAAGACAGGCAAGUCGAGCGAACGGACGAGAAGCUGGCGGCGCUGAGGUUAGCGGCGGACGGGGGAGGAACACGUGGAUAACCGACCUAUAAGACUGGGAUAACUUCGGGAAACCGGAGCUAAUACCGGAGGAUAUUUUGAACCGCAUGGUGCAAAAGUGAAAGACGGUCUUGCUGUCACUUAUAGAUGGAUCCGCGCUGCAUUAGCUAGUUGGUAAGGUAACGGCUGACCAAGGCAACGAUGCAUAGCCGACCUGAGAGUGUUCUCGGCCCCCCUUGACCUGAGACACUGUCCCGACUCCUCCUGGAGGCCGCAGUAGGGAAUCUUCCGCCAUGGGCGAAAGCCUGACGGAGCAACGCCGCGUGAGUGAUGCAGGUCUUCGGCUCUUAACCCUCUUUUCUUCGGGAAGAACAUAUGUGUAAUUCACUCUGCACAUCUUGACGGUACCUACUCAGAAAGCCCCCGCUCCCUACGUG
RNAcentral lists this ribosomal RNA (497 nucleotides) under uncultured bacterium. Its description in RNAcentral is "partial 16S ribosomal RNA". It matches the Rfam family "Bacterial small subunit ribosomal RNA", at positions 28 to 507 of the family's 1533-position model. The record is from RNAcentral.